AGGGUUUGAUUAUGGCUCAGGACGAACGCUGGCGGCGUGCCUAACACAUGCAAGUCGAACGGAGCUUGAGGGGCUUGCCCUUCAAGCUUAGUGGCGGACGGGUGAGUAACGCGUGAGUAACCUGCCUCUCAGAGGGGGAUAACGUUCUGAAAAGGACGCUAAUACCGCAUGACAUCCCGGGGCCGCAUGGCCCUGGGAUCAAAGGAGCAAUCCGCUGAGAGAUGGACUCGCGUCCGAUUAGCUAGUUGGUGAGAUAAAGGCCCACCAAGGCGACGAUCGGUAGCCGGACUGAGAGGUUGAACGGCCACAUUGGGACUGAGACACGGCCCAG
Molecule: ribosomal RNA, 331 nt
Filed under: uncultured bacterium
Lineage: Bacteria
Description: bacterial SSU rRNA
Rfam family: Bacterial small subunit ribosomal RNA
Source: RNAcentral